GUAGUAACCAGUUUAAAUUGGGUACGUUUAUUAUCCGGCCGUGAAAAUACUGCCCCCUAGCCCAGACAGGUUAAGGUCCAGGGAAGAAAGCUGGGACAGGACCAUCCCCACUCCUACAUCAGAAUCAUCGGCCUCCACCACGAACUGACUGGAACGGUCAGGAUGAACCAAGAUAGGAGCAGUGGUGAAGCGGUUUUUGAGUUCCCGGACCGCCCGGUCAACAACAGGGGACCACGUGAACGGAAACUUGGGAGAGAGAUGGUGUCGCAACUUGAUCUCAUCUAUACAGAGGAGGAGAGGAGGAGAGGAGAUCAGAGGAGGAGAGGAGAUCAGAGGAGGAGAGGAGAUCAGAGGAGGAGAGGAGGAGAGGAG
RNAcentral lists this long non-coding RNA (372 nucleotides) under Salmo salar (Atlantic salmon). RNAcentral's name for it is "lncRNA (ENSSSAG00000108391.1)". Lineage: Eukaryota; Metazoa; Chordata; Actinopteri; Salmoniformes; Salmonidae. The record is from RNAcentral.